Molecule: ribosomal RNA, 301 nt
Filed under: uncultured bacterium
Lineage: Bacteria
Description: partial 16S ribosomal RNA
Rfam family: Bacterial small subunit ribosomal RNA
Source: RNAcentral
CAGUCGCCGCGGGAAUACGUAGGGUGCGAGCGUUAAUCGGAAUUACUGGGCGUAAAGCGUGCGCAGGCGGUUAUAUAAGACAGAUGUGAAAUCCCCGGGCUCAACCUGGGACCUGCAUUGUGACUGUAUAGCUAGAGUACGGUAGAGGGGGAUGGAAUUCCGCGUGUAGCAGUGAAAUGCGUAGAUAUGUGGAGGAAUACCGAUGGCGAAGGCAGCCCCCUGGGAUAACACUGACGCUCAUGCACGAAAGCGUGGGGAGCAAACAGGAUUAGAUACCCGCGUAGUCCCUGUCUCUUAUACA